UCGAGAAUCUUUCACAAUGGGGGAAACCCUGAUGAAGCGACGCCGCGUGGAGGAUGAAGGUCUUCGGAUCGUAAACUCCUGUCACCACAGAACAAGAGUAGUUGUAGCAAUAUCACAGCUAUUUGAUGGUAUGUGGAGAGGAAGGAACGGCUAACUCUGUGCCAGCAGCCGCGGUAAUACAGAGGUUCCAAGCGUUGUUCGGAUUCACUGGGCGUAAAGGGUGCGUAGGGGGUCGGGAAAGUCGGGUGUGAAAUCUCACCGCUCAACGGUGAAAUUGCAUUCGAAACUUCUCGACUAGAGGAUCGGAGAGGAAAGCGGAAUUCUUGGUGUAGCGGUAAAAUGCGUAGAUAUCAAGAGGAACACCGAAGGCGAAAGCAGCUUUCUAGAAGAUACCUGACCCUCAUGCACGAAGGCUAGGGGAGCAAACG
Molecule: ribosomal RNA, 428 nt
Filed under: uncultured prokaryote
Description: bacterial SSU rRNA
Rfam family: Bacterial small subunit ribosomal RNA
Source: RNAcentral